UUUCUACGGAGAGUUUGAUUCUGGCUCAGAACGAACGCUGGCGGCGUGGAUAAGACAUGCAAGUCG
Molecule: ribosomal RNA, 66 nt
Filed under: Verrucomicrobiales bacterium
Lineage: Bacteria; Pseudomonadati; Verrucomicrobiota; Verrucomicrobiia; Verrucomicrobiales
Description: partial 16S ribosomal RNA
Rfam family: Bacterial small subunit ribosomal RNA
Source: RNAcentral